CAACCAGGAGGUCACCGGUUCGAGCCCGGUAUUCUCCACCAGCCUUCGCUCUGAUGGCGUUCGCGUAAUUACGCGG
RNAcentral lists this transfer RNA (76 nucleotides) under uncultured bacterium 270. RNAcentral describes it as "tRNA-Ala". The record is from RNAcentral.